RNAcentral lists this long non-coding RNA (455 nucleotides) under Parus major (Great Tit). Its description in RNAcentral is "lncRNA (ENSPMJG00000011453.1)". The record is from RNAcentral. Lineage: Eukaryota; Metazoa; Chordata; Aves; Passeriformes; Paridae.
CAUUCAGUAAAUGUAAAACUUGAAAGGGCUGUGUGUGCUCCCUGUGAAAUGAAGAGGGAGAAAUGACCAGGAAAUACUUGAUUUAAAUAGGAAGGAAGGACCUGUGAGUGAAUCCAAAGAUAUGUUACGCUGCUUAACAAAGUGUUAGCCUCUGAUGUGACUGAAGAGGGAUUCAGAGGUCUUGCAGUGCAACUGGGAAAAUUGAAGGUGUUCAAGGACUAAGAGAAGAGCAAGGAUAAGAGAGCUUAGCUGUCUGCUUGAAAAUGCAGAGAUGCACAGGAAAAAGCAGUGGUGCCAUAUGGGGGCUAUACCAUAUUCCUGAAGGAACACCUGGGCAGAGGAGCAGAGUGGAGACAAAGGCACCACAGCAACUUGUCCAUGCUCGAGGAUCACUGGUGGCUGUUUAUCAAGGGUGAUCCUCAGCUGCAAGGUCACUUGAGCACUUUAAAAUACUC